GGCUCGUGAACUCGACGGUAGAGUGCUGGUCUGAAAAGCCGGUGGACACGGUUCAAUUCCGUGACGAGCCACCA
RNAcentral lists this transfer RNA (74 nucleotides) under Terriglobia bacterium. RNAcentral's name for it is "tRNA-Phe". It matches the Rfam family "tRNA". From Rfam's summary of the family: Transfer RNA (tRNA) molecules are approximately 80 nucleotides in length. Their secondary structure includes four short double-helical elements and three loops (D, anti-codon, and T loops). The record is from RNAcentral. Lineage: Bacteria; Pseudomonadati; Acidobacteriota; Terriglobia. RNAcentral also lists the same sequence under 3 other names.